CCUACGGGUGGCAGCAGUGGGGAAUAUUGCACAAUGGGCGCAAGCCUGAUGCAGCGACGCCGCGUGGGGGAUGACGGCCUUCGGGUUGUAAACUCCUUUCGCUAGGGACGAAGCUUUUUGUGACGGUACCUAGAUAAGAAGCACCGGCUAACUACGUGCCAGCAGCCGCGGUAAUACGUAGGGUGCGAGCGUUGUCCGGAAUUACUGGGCGUAAAGGGCUCGUAGGUGGUUUGUCGCGUCGUCUGUGAAAUUCCGGGGCUUAACUCCGGGCGUGCAGGCGAUACGGGCAUAACUUGAGUACUGUAGGGGUAACUGGAAUUCCUGGUGUAGCGGUCAAAUGCGCAGAUAUCAGGAGGAACACCGAUGGCGAAGGCAGGUUACUGGGCAGUUACUGACGCUGAGGAGCGAAAGCAUGGGUAGCGAACAGGAUUAGAUACCCCAGUAGUC
This 447-nucleotide ribosomal RNA is filed under the name uncultured bacterium. RNAcentral describes it as "partial 16S ribosomal RNA". It matches the Rfam family "Bacterial small subunit ribosomal RNA", at positions 338 to 795 of the family's 1533-position model. The record is from RNAcentral.